RNAcentral lists this ribosomal RNA (202 nucleotides) under uncultured Lactobacillus sp. RNAcentral describes it as "partial 16S ribosomal RNA". It matches the Rfam family "Bacterial small subunit ribosomal RNA", at positions 334 to 528 of the family's 1533-position model. Lineage: Bacteria; Bacillati; Bacillota; Bacilli; Lactobacillales; Lactobacillaceae. The record is from RNAcentral.
UACUCCUACGGGAGGCAGCAGUAGGGAAUCUUCGGCAAUGGACGAAAGUCUGACCGAGCAACGCCGCGUGAGUGAAGAAGGUUUUCGGAUCGUAAAACUCUGUUGGUAGAGAAGAACGUUGGUGAGAGUGGAAAGCUCAUCAAGUGACGGUAACUACCCAGAAAGGGACGGCUAACUACGUGCCAGCAGCCGCGGUAAAUGA